AGUGAACGCUGGCGGUAGGCCUAACACAUGCAAGUCGAACGGCAGCGCAGGAGAGCUUGCUCUCUGAGUGGCGAGUGGCGGACGGGUGAGGAAUACAUCGGAAUCUACUUUUUCGUGGGGGAUAACGUAGGGAAACUUACGCUAAUACCGCAUACGACCUACGGGUGAAAGCAGGGGAUCUUCGGACCUUGCGCGAUUGAAUGAGCCGAUGUCGGAUUAGCUAGUUGGCGGGGUAAAGGCCCACCAAGGCGACGAUCCGUAGCUGGUCUGAGAGGAUGAUCAGCCACACUGGAACUGAGACACGGUCCAGACUCCUACGGGAGGCAGCAGUGGGGAAUAUUGGACAAUGGGCGCAAGCCUGAUCCAGCCAUACCGCGUGGGUGAAGAAGGCCUUCGGGUUGUAAAGCCCUUU
RNAcentral lists this ribosomal RNA (412 nucleotides) under uncultured bacterium. RNAcentral describes it as "bacterial SSU rRNA". It matches the Rfam family "Bacterial small subunit ribosomal RNA", at positions 29 to 436 of the family's 1533-position model. The record is from RNAcentral.